AAUGCGGCUGGGCGGGAGCGGAGGGGAGGCGAGGGCGGCGGCCUCUCCGCUCGGAUCCGGACGGGCCCAGCUCCUCUGGCUCCGCUCCUGCCCUGUCACUCGGCCCCUCCUGUGGCCUGCAGGGCGGCCGCCUGCUUCUUCGUCUUCCUCUUGGCUGGUGAACCACCAGGCUGAUCCUUCAAGUCCAGGCCUCCCGACCCCCGCAGCCAGGGAGGUUGAUGUUUCCAACACAGUGAGCAGCAUUAGGAAGGAAACUCCGGGGAUGGAACAACCCGGGAAUCCUGUCUGAAGUGUUCACUUGGCGGAUCUUAUUACGGAAACACCUUCCCCUGACCCUGCUUCCUCCUGGCCCUGGAGGGUGAUGGCCUUGCUGAGAAGCCCCUGAAUCAAUGCUGAUGGAAGCUCCGGAGACUGGGAAGUCCAUGGUCAAAGCAGACUAAGAUUCCCCCAGUGUCUGACACCGAGCUGAGCUGCUCUCUCCUGGAGAUGGUGCUGCCCCGUGGUGUCCCCUCAGCAGCCGGAGCCACUCUGGAGAGAGAUGCACCCUUGUUAGCCACAUGGCCCCACGAUGGCUCCUCUCCAUUGCUCGGAACCAAGUCCCAGCCCUCACAGAAGCUUCAUGGUCACAGAAAGUUCCGUGGUACAGUCCCUCCUGCUGCUCCUUUCAUUCAUUGACCUGGGGCUCGCCAAACUAUGGCCCUCUGCCUUUAUUUUUUAAAACCUCACUAAACACUUGAAAAAUCGA
Molecule: non-coding RNA, 745 nt
Organism: Heterocephalus glaber (naked mole-rat)
Lineage: Eukaryota; Metazoa; Chordata; Mammalia; Rodentia; Bathyergidae
Source: RefSeq, a predicted model, not a curated record